This 72-nucleotide transfer RNA is filed under the name Nephila pilipes (giant wood spider). It matches the Rfam family "tRNA". From Rfam's summary of the family: Transfer RNA (tRNA) molecules are approximately 80 nucleotides in length. Their secondary structure includes four short double-helical elements and three loops (D, anti-codon, and T loops). Lineage: Eukaryota; Metazoa; Arthropoda; Arachnida; Araneae; Nephilidae. The record is from Rfam by way of RNAcentral.
GGGGGUGUAGCUCAGUGGUAGAGCGUUCGCUUCGCAUGUGAAAGGUCCGGGGUUCAAAUCCCCGGACCUUUC